GACGAACGCUGGCGGCGUGCUUAACACAUGCAAGUCGAACGGAAAGGCCCUGCUUUUGUGGGGUGCUCGAGUGGCGAACGGGUGAGUAACACGUGAGUAACCUGCCCUUGACUUCGGGAUAACUUCAGGAAACUGGGGCUAAUACCGGAUAGGAGCUCCUGCUGCAUGGUGGGGGUUGGAAAGUUUCGGCGGUUGGGGAUGGACUUGCGGCUUAUCAGCUUGUUGGUGGGGUAGUGGCUUACCAAGGCUUUGACGGGUAGCCGGCCUGAGAGGGUGACCGGCCACAUUGGGACUGAGAUACGGCCCAGACUCCUACGGGAGGCAGCAGUGGGGAAUAUUGCACAAUGGGCGGAAGCCUGAUGCAGCAACGCCGCGUGCGGGAUGACGGCCUUCGGGUUGUAAACCGCUUUCGCCUGUGACGAAGCGUGAGUGACGGUAAUGGGUAAAGAAGCACCGGCUAACUACGUGCCAGCAGCCGCGGUGAUACGUAGGGUGCGAGCGUUGUCCGGAUUUAUUGGGCGUAAAGGGCUCGUAGGUGGUUGAUCGCGUCGGAAGUGUAAUCUUGGGGCUUAACCCUGAGCGUGCUUUCGAUACGGGUUGACUUGAGGAAGGUAGGGGAGAAUGGAAUUCCUGGUGGAGCGGUGGAAUGCGCAGAUAUCAGGAGGAACACCAGUGGCGAAGGCGGUUCUCUGGGCCUUUCCUGACGCUGAGGAGCGAAAGCGUGGGGAGCGAACAGGCUUAGAUACCCUGGUAGUCCACGCUGUAAACGGUGGGUACUAGGUGUGGGGUCCAUUCCACGGGUUCCGUGCCGUAGCUAACGCUUUAAGUACCCCGCCUGGGGAGUACGGCCGCAAGGCUAAAACUCAAAGGAAUUGACGGGGCCCCGCACAAGCGGCGGAGCAUGCGGAUUAAUUCGAUGCAACGCGUAGAACCUUACCUGGGUUUGACAUGGAUCGGGAGUGCUCAGAGAUGGGUGUGCCUCUUUCGGGGUCGGUUCACAGGUGGUGCAUGGCUGUCGUCAGCUCGUGUCGUGAGAUGUUGGGUUAAGUCCCGCAACGAGCGCAACCCUUGUUCACUGUUGCCAGCACGUUAUGGUGGGGACUCAGUGGAGACCGCCGGGGCCAACUCGGAGGAAGGUGGGGAUGACGUCAAGUCAUCAUGCCCCUUAUGUCCAGGGCUUCACGCAUGCUACAAUGGCUGGUACAGAGAGUGGCGAGCCUGUGAGGGUGAGCGAAUCUCGGAAAGCCGGUCUCAGUUCGGAUUGGGGUCUGCAACUCGACCUCAUGAAGUCGGAGUCGCUAGUAAUCGCAGAUCAGCAACGCUGCGGUGAAUACGUUCCCGGG
This 1343-nucleotide ribosomal RNA is filed under the name uncultured bacterium. Its description in RNAcentral is "16S ribosomal RNA". It matches the Rfam family "Bacterial small subunit ribosomal RNA", at positions 28 to 1378 of the family's 1533-position model. The record is from RNAcentral.